Transfer RNA from Rubidibacter lacunae KORDI 51-2, 82 nucleotides. It matches the Rfam family "tRNA". Rfam says of the family: Transfer RNA (tRNA) molecules are approximately 80 nucleotides in length. Their secondary structure includes four short double-helical elements and three loops (D, anti-codon, and T loops). The record is from Rfam. NCBI's taxonomy places the organism in Bacteria, Bacillati, Cyanobacteriota, Cyanophyceae, Chroococcales, Aphanothecaceae.
GGGCAAGUGGCGGAAUUGGUAGACGCACCGCACUCAAAAUGCGGCGGCUUCGGCCUUGAGAGUUCGAGUCUCUCCUUGCCCA